UCUCUGUGAUGCCAUACCAAUAGAUCCUUCUGACCCUCCUCUGUGCACUCCUAGCAGGGAGAUGAAGAGGAACAUGACUGAGAGA
Talpa occidentalis (Iberian mole) is the source of this 85-nucleotide small nucleolar RNA. NCBI's taxonomy places the organism in Eukaryota, Metazoa, Chordata, Mammalia, Eulipotyphla, Talpidae. The record is from RefSeq and is a predicted model, not a curated record.